GUGUAAAUUAGUUUAACCAUUGUGGGAGACAGUGUGGCGAUUCCUCAAGGAUCUAACCCUUCUUAUGGUGUCUUCUGGCAUUCUCUGACCAGCCAGGAGAGGUCCCCUGAUUUCAAGGACCUUUGUAAUAACACUGAGCACACACAGAUAAUCCCGGAUCAUCUCCCCAUCUCCAGGUCCUUAACUCAAAUGUUGCACCGGAACGAGCAGAAAAUCAACACCAAGACAAAAGUUGUGUUUACUUCAGGAAGAAGAGCUCCCCAUGCUCCUGCAGCUCUGCCAUGGUGCCAAGGGUCCCAGGCCAGUGGACUCCAAGGAGCAGCGAGAAGAUGAGAAGAGGCACUCUGGUCUGUCCAUUCCGCCACCCCGCUCAGGAACUGCUAGAUGGCCUGUGGUGGAGCAAAGCACUUCCAGAGCUGGCCAGGCUCCCUGCUUGGCUCUGCUACGCCACGUUGACCUGUGAACUAUGGAAUCCUGUGGUCAGCAUUUUCACAAACCAUCGUCGCUAUGUUCUC
Long non-coding RNA from Cebus imitator (Panamanian white-faced capuchin), 515 nucleotides. RefSeq lists it as uncharacterized. Lineage: Eukaryota; Metazoa; Chordata; Mammalia; Primates; Cebidae. The transcript has 3 exons. The record is from RefSeq and is a predicted model, not a curated record.